UGUGAAGAGGAAGGAAGUGGUGUUUUAAACCCCCUGCUUUCUGUCUCAUUUCUACCUUCAAGCCCACAGAGGGACGUUAAGGUUCGUGAUAACUCCCUUUAUUUUAAUGUAGAAGGUUUUACUUGUGUACAUCAAUCUUCUUAUUUAUUUUAUUGUCACUGAAGCCACACGGAGACGAGAGGAGCAGCUAUGAGUUUAAUAGCGAGUGGAUUUGUUGUCGUCAUUCUCUCUAUGCCAGAAGAAAGGCAUCUUUGAACACGUCGUUCCUCCUUCACUUCUCACAGAGAUGAGAGGAGCAGCUAUGAGUCUAACUGCAGCAGCGAGUGGAUUAGUUGUCUUCCUGCUCUCUGUGUCAGGUACUGUACUUCUACACUUACAUUCAUCACAUGAACAGAGGGGAUUCUGGGAAAUGUGGGACUUGUUAAACCAGGUCACAUGUGGGAAUAAGUGGGAUGGAUUUGUGUAAAAGUCAAACCUAGCAGAAACAUUUUAAAUGUAAUUGUGUGUAGAAUUGUAGAAACUCAAAGACGUUCCUAGUUUUUUUGAUGGAUAUUCUGAAGAUCUUGUCGUGCGUUGCCGCUGUCCUUUGCUCCAAUCAUCUGCAUCAAAUAUCACUUAUCACUUUUACAAGCGUUACAAUAUAGUGUAUGCAUAACUGUUCCAUCCUCUCUCUCUGAAAACAUUUUGCUUUUUUUCUUAAGACGACUUCAAGAAUCUCCAGCUCUGUUUUUAUUAAGUUGAAGUGAUUUAGAGAGAUAUUCUUAUUCUAAGUCAAAACAUAUUGACUGAACUCUUAUGGAUCAUACCUCUGCACCAAACCCUUCUAGUUCCUUCUCUCCUCUCUGACCUCAGUGUUAUAUUUCCACGCUCUGAGUUUAAAGCAGUCUUCUUCUUUUUCUAAUCUGUAUAUCAGACAGAAGCUGCUCACGCCUCAGUGUUCUGCAUUCAUUGUUAUUGUUCACACUGACCUCAGCAGCAACCUGACCACAGAGCGAACAGAGAGGGAACUGUUCAGAGAGUCUCUAUUCUAAUUAAUGUGAUCGCUAAUCAUUCACUGUUCAUUUCUAUGAAGGCAUUUUCCAAUCUUGCUUUGCCCUGACUGUAAAACUGAGCAUACACUUUUUUCAUUCAUGUCCUUUUUUUAAAGGACAUGAAUGAAAAUAAUUACCAAACAAUGUAUUGAUUAAUCCAAAUAGAUCAAUUUAUCAAAAUGCAACAUCUGAGAAAGUCACAUUAACAUUUAGAGCAUUUGUGAUGUGAAUGACCCGGGUCUCUCUGAAUCUCCAGAUGCUC
Gymnodraco acuticeps is the source of this 1293-nucleotide long non-coding RNA. RefSeq lists it as uncharacterized. The transcript has 3 exons. Lineage: Eukaryota; Metazoa; Chordata; Actinopteri; Perciformes; Bathydraconidae. The record is from RefSeq and is a predicted model, not a curated record.